GUCAGGUUGGUCGAGCAACACUCAGACCUGAACAUUCAUUUGUUAGAUGCAUUUGGUGUAGUAAUGUUAAUGAUUGGAUUUAACCAAAAUUUUUAGUGGAGGCACCACACACCUACUGAAGAGAUGCCUGGGGCAAAACCUAAUUAUUAAAAAUUAUUUGAUGAAAUAAUUGGUUAAGAACCUGUCCAUGGAUGCACUAGGAUUGGCCAAGCCACACUCGAGCCCGAAUGCAGUCU
Molecule: long non-coding RNA, 236 nt
Filed under: Elaeis guineensis (African oil palm)
Lineage: Eukaryota; Viridiplantae; Streptophyta; Magnoliopsida; Arecales; Arecaceae
Description: long non-coding RNA (EGUI_LNC048646)
Source: RNAcentral